GAUGAACGCUGGCGGCGUGCCUAAUACAUGCAAGUCGAGCGAACAGAUGAGGAGCUUGCUCCUCUGACGUUAGCGGCGGACGGGUGAGUAACACGUGGAUAACCUACCUAUAAGACUGGGAUAACUUCGGGAAGCCGGAGCUAAUACCGGAUAAUAUAUUGAACCGCAUGGUUCAAUAGUGAAAGACGGCUUUGCUGUCACUUAUAGAUGGAUCCGCGCCGCAUUAGCUAGUUGGUAAGGUAACGGCCUACCAAGGCAACGAUGCGUAGCCGACCUGAGAGGGUGAUCGGCCACACGGGAACUGAGCCAGGGUCCAGACGACUACGGGAGGCAGCAGAAGGGAACCGUACGCAGUGGGCGAAAGCUUGACGGAGCAACGCCGCGUGAGUGAUGACAGUCUUCGGAUCGUAAAAAUGUGUUAUUAGGGAAAAACAAAUGUGUAAGUAAAUAUGCACGUCGUGACGGUACCUAAUCAGAAAGCCACGGCUAACUACGUG
RNAcentral lists this ribosomal RNA (497 nucleotides) under uncultured bacterium. RNAcentral's name for it is "partial 16S ribosomal RNA". It matches the Rfam family "Bacterial small subunit ribosomal RNA", at positions 28 to 507 of the family's 1533-position model. The record is from RNAcentral.